UAGCGGCGGACGGGUGAGUAACGCGUGGGAAUGUGCCCUUCUCUACGGAAUAGCCCUGGGAAACUGGGAGUAAUACCGUAUACGCCCUAUUGGGGAAAGAUUUAUCGGAGAAGGAUCAGCCCGCGUUGGAUUAGGUAGUUGGUGGGGUAAUGGCCUACCAAGCCGACGAUCCAUAGCUGGUUUGAGAGGAUGAUCAGCCACACUGGGACUGAGACACGGCCCAGACUCC
RNAcentral lists this ribosomal RNA (229 nucleotides) under uncultured Paracoccus sp. RNAcentral's name for it is "partial 16S ribosomal RNA". It matches the Rfam family "Bacterial small subunit ribosomal RNA", at positions 93 to 339 of the family's 1533-position model. The record is from RNAcentral. Lineage: Bacteria; Pseudomonadati; Pseudomonadota; Alphaproteobacteria; Rhodobacterales; Paracoccaceae.